Molecule: non-coding RNA, 24 nt
Filed under: Arabidopsis thaliana (thale cress)
Lineage: Eukaryota; Viridiplantae; Streptophyta; Magnoliopsida; Brassicales; Brassicaceae
Source: RNAcentral
UCUAAUGCCUUUUUCUCAAUGCCC